ACAGAGGGGGCAAGCGUUGUUCGGAAUUACUGGGCGUAAAGGGCGCGUAGGCGGCCUGCUAAGUCGAACGUGAAAUCCCUGGGCUCAACCCAGGAACUGCGUCCGAUACUGGUUGGCUUGAAUUCGGGAGAGGGAUGCGGAAUUCCAGGUGUAGCGGUGAAAUGCGUAGAUAUCGGGAGGAACACCGGUGGCGAAGGCGAGUCUCUGGGAUGAUACUGACGCUGAUGCUCGAAAGCUAGGGGAGCAAACGGGA
RNAcentral lists this ribosomal RNA (253 nucleotides) under uncultured prokaryote. Its description in RNAcentral is "partial 16S ribosomal RNA". It matches the Rfam family "Bacterial small subunit ribosomal RNA", at positions 525 to 777 of the family's 1533-position model. The record is from RNAcentral.